UACAGAGGUCCCAAGCGUUGUUCGGAAUUACUGGGCGUAAAGGGCGCGUAGGCGGCCUACUAAGUCAGACGUGAAAUCCCCCGGCUUAACCUGGGAACUGCGUCUGAUACUGGAAGGCUUGAGGAUGGGAGAGGGAUGUAGAAUUCCAGGUGUAGCGGUGAAAUGCGUAGAUAUCUGGAGGAAUACCGGUGGCGAAGGCGGCAUCCUGGACCAUUUCUGACGCUGAGGCGCGAAAGCUAGGGGAGCAAACGGG
This 253-nucleotide ribosomal RNA is filed under the name uncultured bacterium. Its description in RNAcentral is "partial 16S ribosomal RNA". It matches the Rfam family "Bacterial small subunit ribosomal RNA", at positions 524 to 776 of the family's 1533-position model. The record is from RNAcentral.